This is a transfer RNA of Laetiporus sulphureus 93-53, 99 nucleotides long. It matches the Rfam family "tRNA". From Rfam's summary of the family: Transfer RNA (tRNA) molecules are approximately 80 nucleotides in length. The record is from Rfam. Lineage: Eukaryota; Fungi; Basidiomycota; Agaricomycetes; Polyporales; Laetiporaceae.
GGCCGUCUGGCGAAAUGGCAUCGCGUCUGACUACGACAAAGCUGGUGACUCGGCUUACGUAAUAUCAGGAGAUUGCAGGUUCGACCCCUGCGUCGGUCA